AUGCGAAAUCCUGGCUCCGCUGAAGUCAAUGAAAGUCUUGACAUCAACUUCAACAAGAAACUCAAAUCUAAGCAAAAAGUCAGACCAACGCRGACUGAACCGCUGGGUUUUUCCCCUGCAAACGGAAGCCGAACUCGAACAGGACCGAGGCCAAACGGCUCGGUUCACGCCGCACCGGCGCGAACCGCGAAACGCAGUCGUUUGACCCCCUGGGUUGUUGCACCCGUACGAGAAAUCCCCCACGGACUGCAGGAAAAGGAUACGCUGAGAAGGGAGCGGAUGGAAACCCAACCCAGAAGAGAGCUCAGCGGUGCACAGGAGCAUCUGCAAGUCCUGGGAUAA
Molecule: long non-coding RNA, 342 nt
Filed under: Apteryx haastii (Great spotted kiwi)
Lineage: Eukaryota; Metazoa; Chordata; Aves; Apterygiformes; Apterygidae
Description: lncRNA (ENSAHAG00000012832.1)
Source: RNAcentral